Molecule: long non-coding RNA, 366 nt
Filed under: Jatropha curcas
Lineage: Eukaryota; Viridiplantae; Streptophyta; Magnoliopsida; Malpighiales; Euphorbiaceae
Description: long non-coding RNA (JCUR_LNC000050)
Source: RNAcentral
GACGUUCUCGAUGAUGUUGGGUUCGGUGAACGAACCGUUCGCAGUCUCCAGCUGAAGCGUCCCUCCGGUAGGCCCCAAGGUAAACUUGAUGUUGCAGUUACGAUCAGACAGCCUCGUUAUCGCGCGCCUGAUCCAUCCUAUGCUCCACCUUACGGUGUCCCACCACCAUCAGCGUCCAGAGAUUAUGCUUAUGGAACUCCAUACUCCGCCGCACCACCACCACCAAAUCCAUACUACACAGCAGCCCCGCCCAGUGGAUAUCCGUACGGUGGGUACAACGCGCCACCGCAACCAGGGCCAAGUUACGGUUACGGAUACAAUUACGGUAGUUCGCAGCAGCCCGUUUAUGCGGAGGGGGAAAAGAAA